Dichomitus squalens LYAD-421 SS1 is the source of this 72-nucleotide non-coding RNA. The record is from the annotation of a RefSeq genome assembly. NCBI's taxonomy places the organism in Eukaryota, Fungi, Basidiomycota, Agaricomycetes, Polyporales, Polyporaceae.
GACUUAAUGGCUCAGUUGGUUAGAGCGCAGGUCUCAUACUCUGAGGUCGUGGGUUCGAUCCUUGCCUGAGCA